UACAGAGGUCCCAAGCGUUGUUCGGAUUCACUGGGCGUAAAGGGUGCGUAGGCGGUCGGGUAAGUCUGAUGUGAAAUCUCACAGCUUAACUGUGAAACUGCAUUGAUACUAUCCGGCUAGAGGAAUGGAGGGGAGACUGGAAUACUUGGUGUAGCAGUGAAAUGCGUAGAUAUCAAGUGGAACACCAGUGGCGAAGGCGAGUCUCUGGACAUUUCCUGACGCUGAGGCACGAAAGCCAGGGGAGCAAACGGG
RNAcentral lists this ribosomal RNA (252 nucleotides) under uncultured bacterium. RNAcentral describes it as "partial 16S ribosomal RNA". It matches the Rfam family "Bacterial small subunit ribosomal RNA", at positions 524 to 776 of the family's 1533-position model. The record is from RNAcentral.